GAUGAACGCUGGCGGCGUGCCUAAUACAUGCAAGUCGAGCGGCAGCACGAGAAGCUUGUUCCCCUGGGGUUAGCGGCGGACGGGUGAGUAACGCGUGGAUAACCUGCCUCUGAGUCGGGGAUAACAUCGGGAAACGACUGCUAAUACCGCAUAAUACUUUCAACCGCAGGGUUCAAGAGUGAAAGAGGCACUUGCCGACUGAAAGAGAGGAACCCGCGUUGCAUUAGCUAGUGGGUAAGGUAAAGGCUAACCAAGGCGACGAUGCAUAGCCGACCUGAGAGGGUGAUCGGCCACACUGGAACUGAGACACGGUCCAGACUCCUACGGGAGGCAGCAGUAGGGAAUCUUCGGCAAUGGGCGAAAGCCUGACCGAGCAACGCCGCGUGAGUGAAGAAGGUCUUCGGAUCGUAAAACUCUGUUGUUAGGGAAGAACAUAUGUGUGAGUAGAUGGCGCUGUCUUGACGGUACCCAAUCAAUAAGCCACGGCUAACUUCGUG
This 497-nucleotide ribosomal RNA is filed under the name uncultured bacterium. RNAcentral's name for it is "partial 16S ribosomal RNA". It matches the Rfam family "Bacterial small subunit ribosomal RNA", at positions 28 to 507 of the family's 1533-position model. The record is from RNAcentral.